UGGGGAAUAUUGCACAAUGGGCGCAAGCCUGAUGCAGCCAUGCCGCGUGUGUGAAGAAGGCCUUCGGGUUGUAAAGCACUUUCAGCGGGGAGGAAGGCGAUAAGGUUAAUGACCUUGUCGAUUGACGUUACCCGCAGAAGAAGCACCGGCUAACUCCGUGCCAGCAGCCGCGGUAAUACGGAGGGUGCAAGCGUUAAUCGGAAUUACUGGGCGUAAAGCGCACGCAGGCGGUCUGUCAAGUCGGAUGUGAAAUCCCCGGGCUCAACCUGGGAACUGCAUUCGAAACUGGCAGGCUAGAGUCUUGUAGAGGGGGGUAGAAUUCCAGGUGUAGCGGUGAAAUGCGUAGAGAUCUGGAGGAAUACCGGUGGCGAAGGCGGCCCCCUGGACAAAGACUGACGCUCAGGUGCGAAAGCGUGGGGAGCAAACAGG
RNAcentral lists this ribosomal RNA (429 nucleotides) under Chloroflexota bacterium. RNAcentral's name for it is "Chloroflexi bacterium partial 16S ribosomal RNA". It matches the Rfam family "Bacterial small subunit ribosomal RNA", at positions 355 to 776 of the family's 1533-position model. The record is from RNAcentral. Lineage: Bacteria; Bacillati; Chloroflexota.